Long non-coding RNA from Cebus imitator (Panamanian white-faced capuchin), 159 nucleotides. RefSeq lists it as uncharacterized. The transcript has 3 exons. NCBI's taxonomy places the organism in Eukaryota, Metazoa, Chordata, Mammalia, Primates, Cebidae. The record is from RefSeq and is a predicted model, not a curated record.
AAUCAGUGGGAACCCAGAGCUUGAUUUCCUGCAAUUAUAUGGUCCCAUCUGGGGGUGAUAGGAGACAGUGACAGAUCAUCAGGCAUUAGAUUCUCAUAAGGAGAGAGCAACCUAGAACCCUCACAUGCGCAGUUUACUAUAGAGAUUGGGCUGCUGUGA